Molecule: long non-coding RNA, 168 nt
Organism: Zea mays
Lineage: Eukaryota; Viridiplantae; Streptophyta; Magnoliopsida; Poales; Poaceae
Exons: 3
Source: RefSeq, a predicted model, not a curated record
GUUCCAAAAACAUUAAACUGGGAUUUAUCAGGCUUUCUUGUUAUCAACUUUAUGCACUCGUGGAAUGGUAAAAGGUUACCCUGCAUUUCCACUACUUCAAGUGUACUGAGGACCAAAUUCUUGGUAGAGUUGAUGAAGUACCAGGAGAAUGAAUGUAAUGACAAUAUU